This 468-nucleotide ribosomal RNA is filed under the name uncultured bacterium. RNAcentral describes it as "partial 16S ribosomal RNA". It matches the Rfam family "Bacterial small subunit ribosomal RNA", at positions 28 to 507 of the family's 1533-position model. The record is from RNAcentral.
GACGAACGCUGGCGGCGUGCUUAACACAUGCAAGUCGAACGGAAAGGCCCUGCUUUUGUGGGGUGCUCGAGUGGCGAACGGGUGAGUAACACGUGAGUAACCUGCCCUUGACUUUGGGAUAACUUCAGGAAACUGGGGCUAAUACCGGAUAGGAGCUCCUGCUGCAUGGUGGGGGUUGGAAAGUUUCGGCGGUUGGGGAUGGACUCGCGGCUUAUCAGCUUGUUGGUGGGGUAGUGGCUUACCAAGGCUUUGACGGGUAGCCGGCCCGAGAGGGUGACCGGCCACAUGGGGACUGAGGUACGGCCCAGACUCCUACGGGAGGCAGCAGUGGGGAGUAUGGCGCAAUGGGCGGAAGCCUGAUGCAGCGGCGCCGCGUGCGGGAUGACGGCCUUCGGGUUGUAAACCGAUUUCGCCUGUGACGAAGCGUGAGUGACGGUAAUGGGUAAAGAAGCACCGGCUAACUACGUG